Dermochelys coriacea (leatherback sea turtle) is the source of this 808-nucleotide long non-coding RNA. RefSeq lists it as uncharacterized. NCBI's taxonomy places the organism in Eukaryota, Metazoa, Chordata, Testudines, Dermochelyidae. The transcript is spliced from 2 exons. The record is from RefSeq and is a predicted model, not a curated record.
CCAAACCUUCAAGGGAGAAGGUCUGUCUUGUGAUGUCAUGUCUUGGGGGAGCUGAGGAGAGCUGCUGCAGGCCCUGACUGGAAGGGCCUAGAGGGUGUGAGGGGAAUUAACCCAGGGAGACUAGAUGAGCAAGAGAUGAGAAGGAGGGCAGGGAGGCUGCUACUAGAGGGUCCCUGGUCCAGGGCCCAGAGUAGCAGGUGGGCCUGGGUUUCCCCUCACAUUGCGUGCACCUGGCUGACUGCAAUGUGCCCCACACGUGAGAGGCUAGACUUCAGGUUGUGGUUGGCCAAUGCAGCAGGAGCGAGCAGAAAGACUGUUGUUAAAAGCCCCGCCCCUGGAAGGGGGUGAGGAUGGACUAAGGGGCACUGUCAGAGGGCAGUGACCAGAAGCGGAAAUUGCCGAGCAGGGAGCAACGUGGGUCUGGAUACCAGUGGGGGAGCAGAUGACGGAUGGGAUACCGCUGGCAGAGGGCACCCUGCAGAGGACAGAGCUAAUUCCCAGAUGUGCCAGCGGGAGGUGCUAUGGUGAAUGAGUGUUUUUACAGUGGAUAAAGGAACUGGAAUAGUUCAGUCAACCAAUUAGUCUGAUACUACGUCUCUGCCAGUGGAACACAAUGGAUGCUUCAGAGGAAAACAUAAAAGCCAACUGUAUCAUAAGGAGGAAAAGACUUACCCAUCUCUGUUUAUGAUCAUCUUGCCCAUUGAAGAGGAAUGAGGGCUGACAACCUUUGUACUUUUAUUCUAGGUAGUGUAACUGCAGCUGCUAUUUUUAUUCACAUAAUAUGUCUAUAUAACAGAGGAUUUUUCUC